AUUGAACGCUGGCGGCAUGCCUUACACAUGCAAGUCGAACGGCAGCACGGGUGCUUGCACCUGGUGGCGAGUGGCGAACGGGUGAGUAAUACAUCGGAACGUACCUUAUCGUGGGGGAUAACGCAGCGAAAGCUGUUCUAAUACCGCAUAAGCCCUGAGCGGGAACGCGGGGGAUCGACAGACCUCGCGCGCUUAGAGCGGCCGAUGCCUGAUUAGCUUGUGGGUGGGGUAAAAGCCCACCAAGGCGACGAUCAGUAGCUGGUCUGAGAGGACGAUCAGCCAAACUGGGACUGAGACACGGCCCAGACUCCUACGGGAGGCAGCAGUGGGGAAUUUUGGACAAUGGGGGCAACCCUGAUCCAGAAAUGCCGCGUGAGUGAAGAAGGCCUUCGGGUUGUAAAGCUCUUUUGUCAGGGAAGAAACACCGGCUCUAACACAGUCCGGGAAUGACGGUACCUGAAGAAUAAGCACCGGCUAACUACGUGCCAGCAGCCGCCGUAA
Molecule: ribosomal RNA, 501 nt
Filed under: uncultured bacterium
Lineage: Bacteria
Description: partial 16S ribosomal RNA
Rfam family: Bacterial small subunit ribosomal RNA
Source: RNAcentral